Octopus sinensis (East Asian common octopus) is the source of this 165-nucleotide long non-coding RNA. RefSeq lists it as uncharacterized. The transcript has 3 exons. NCBI's taxonomy places the organism in Eukaryota, Metazoa, Mollusca, Cephalopoda, Octopoda, Octopodidae. The record is from RefSeq and is a predicted model, not a curated record.
AUAUAUAUGCAUAUGUGGGCACAGGUCGUCCUGAAGCGUGUACAACAAAAAAAUACGAAGCAUGAGUACAUGGAAUAUGAACUAUUUUUUUGAACAAUGAAAGACACACAAGACAUCCAACAUAAAGAAUGACCCUUCAUCAGUUGGCUGCUUUUCUACUUUCAU